GACGAACGCUGGCGGCGUGCCUAAUACAUGCAAGUAGAACGCACAGUUUAUACCGUAGCUUGCUACACCAUAGACUGUGAGUUGCGAACGGGUGAGUAACGCGUAGGUAACCUGCCUGGUAGCGGGGGAUAACUAUUGGAAACGAUAGCUAAUACCGCAUAAUAUUAAUUAUUGCAUGAUAAUUAAUUGAAAGGUGCAAUUGCACCACUACCAGAUGGACCUGCGUUGUAUUAGCUAGUAGGUGAGGUAACGGCUCACCUAGGCGACGAUACAUAGCCGACCUGAGAGGGUGAUAGGCCACACUGGGACUGAGACACGGCCCAGACUCCUACGGGAGGCAGCAGUAGGGAAUAUUCGGCAAUGGACGAAAGUCUGACCGAGCAACGCCGCGUGAGUGAAGAAGGGUUUCGGAUCGUAAAGCUCUGUUGUAAGAGAAGAACGGGUGUGAGAGUGGAAAGUUCACACUGUGACGGUAUCUUACCAGAAAGGGACGGCUAACUACGUG
Molecule: ribosomal RNA, 505 nt
Filed under: uncultured bacterium
Lineage: Bacteria
Description: partial 16S ribosomal RNA
Rfam family: Bacterial small subunit ribosomal RNA
Source: RNAcentral